This 374-nucleotide ribosomal RNA is filed under the name uncultured organism. Its description in RNAcentral is "partial 16S ribosomal RNA". It matches the Rfam family "Bacterial small subunit ribosomal RNA", at positions 527 to 896 of the family's 1533-position model. The record is from RNAcentral.
GUAGGUGGCAAGCGUUGUCCGGAAUUAUUGGGCGUAAAGCGCGCGCAGGCGGUUCGUUUAAGUCUGAUGUGAAAGCCCGCGGGCUCAACCGUGGAGGGUCAUUGGAAACUGGAGAACUUGAGUACAGAAGAGGAAAGCGGAAUUCCACGUGUAGCGGUGAAAUGCGUAGAGAUGUGGAGGAACACCAGUGGCGAAGGCGGCUUUCUGGUCUGUAACUGACGCUGAGGCGCGAAAGCGUGGGGAGCAAACAGGAUUAGAUACCCUGGUAGUCCACGCCGUAAACGAUGAGUGCUAAGUGUUAGGGGGGUUUCCGCCCCUUAGUGCUGCAGCUAACGCAUUAAGCACUCCGCCUGGGGAGUACGGCCGCAAGGCUG